AGGUAGUAUAACUUCUGAUUGUGAUCACUUGUAUUUAGAUCUUCUGAAUGUACUGGAUUCAUUUCAGUACAGUCUGCAUAAAGUUGCUUGUAAACUGGUUUGACCUUAAAGGCCAAAAACACCAGCAUUGACUUAAGGAUCUUCAUCCUGAAUAUAAUACUACAAUGGAUCAUAAGGAAGUAGGGAUGAAGGGUGUUGAAUGAAUUCGUGGGCACUGGCAGGCUCAUGUGAACAUAGUAAUGAACCUUCGGAAUUCAUAAAAGUGUGGAAUGUAAUGACUAGCUGAACGUCUGAAUAGAUUUGCACGAAAGACUCUGCUCCAUGGAGUUGAUUAGUUAAAACAAACAAUAUGUGUCAUAGGUGAUAUAAUUCACUGCAUGAAAUUAUACAAUUUUACUGCAACACAUUUAUGAACCUAAAGGCAGAAAAAUAAAAAAAACUUUGAACACUUGAGUUUCCAAACAUUUCCACGUAAAGCGCUACCCUCACAUUUAUAAUGGCGUCUUAUUUUGAAAAGCUAGGUUAUUGCUGUGGUGUUACGAAGAUACGUCUGCGGUUACAGUGUAAAGAAGAUGUUGUACGGUGUUUGAAAGGGAAUGGCUGGCAGAAAUGUCGUUUUGCAGAUGAUGUAAAUUGUUUGAUCAAACUUGUUGCAUUUGUAAAGGAAAAAGCCGUGGAAUAUCAUCAGUCAAUGGUGGAUUCAGCUCGAGCGACUUUCGUUCGCAUUCGACUCAAAUCUACCAGGCAUGAUGUCCGAAAAAUAAAUAUACCACACACAAAACAGUGCACGAAAUUCAGCGGAGACGUUUGAAAUUUAAGGGUUAUAAAUAACAUUUAACUGCCCAAGACAAAGAAGUUCGCUCCACGGACGAACUUUUUACAACCAAAAUUGUUUUGAGGGAUGAAAUCAUAUUGCAUUUAUCGGGAAAUGUUAAGCGACAAAACCUGAGAAUCUGGGGGAGCAACACUCCACCCUAAAUUAUUUGUCCAAACAAAAUGUAUUAGGGUUUUUUCUUUGCUGAAAGUACUGUGCAAGUAUAGUGUAUCUAUACAUGUUGGAGGAAUUACUCAUGCAUGUUUUGGAAGAAGGUUCCAAAAGAACAUACAGUUCCAACAAGAUGGAGCACGUCCACCUGUCCACAAAGAAGUGACAAACUUCUUAAAUCACAAGUUUCCAGGUAAAUGGAUGGCAGAGAUUAGUUUGGUGAAGACAGUAUUUUUGCUGUUGGUUAUUUUAUGGUUUUAUGGCAUGCUUCCUAUUUCAAUUGCAAUACCUCUAAAUGAUUUAGUAGAACGGAGGAGCCUAGAACACCUGGAGAGCCCCAAGGAAAGAACUUGCAAGAUUCUCUGUGAGCUUAUGGCUGCUGCAACCAGUGAACCAAUACAGAUCACAGGCCAGAAGUCAUAAAAUGUUGAGACCUCCUGCUUUAUGAAUUGAAGUUUGGGAACAUGCGACUUGUAUGAAUUUUGUAGAAUAAAAGUGUUUGCUGCACGUA
Molecule: non-coding RNA, 1496 nt
Organism: Zootermopsis nevadensis
Lineage: Eukaryota; Metazoa; Arthropoda; Insecta; Blattodea; Termopsidae
Source: RefSeq, a predicted model, not a curated record